AUGGAUUAUUACACCGGUGACACCUCCCCCCCCCCCCAUGGAUCCUGCCUUCUGAUAUCCAGGCCCUGGAGUGGUCCCCUUGGGCGGGACAUGGCUAGAUCAGGCGAUCUGCUUUGGCCAAUGGGACAGACAGGAAUCCGAGGCUGGAGGAGCAUCUGUGCUCUGAGGUGUCUCCUCUCCGGACUGUCGGGCUGGGAGGAGCGGGCUACCUCUCACACGACCCAGCCUACCUUCCAGUGCAGGACUGAAGUCUCGGUGAGACCAGGAGAAGAACUGCCUAGCCAACCAGCCAACCCCGAGAGCGGCAUCCAAAUUAAGCAAGGCUUUAUUCAGCACCAAGAAGGCCACAUCUGCAUAAUGAAAAGAUUUCAUCAGAAGCCCGAGAAAUCUCCUGGUGGGCUCCUCAUCAAAUAAUUCCUCAUCCUCCUGCAAACAACCUCCCAACCAAUUCAGAAAAUAAUGUCUGGAGAAGAAAUCCCUUGGAGCAGUUCAGGCCCCGGCAAGAAGCAGCUUAGAGCUGAUUCGAGAAUCAUACCAAGUGAACCCCACUGCAGGUACGUGAGUUCCAGAUUUUACUAUUUCAAUGUCCUAGGGCCAAUUUUAUGUCUCACAGACCACGUUCAGAAGCAAAAGCAAGCUCCUGGACCUUCACUUGGAGAAAUGUGUUGCGUUGGUGAAGCCCAACCUUGGGUCCCUUGGGUCGGGGGGAGCAUUCUAUUACAAAAGUUUCUGGAAACUGCAUGGCUUGUGGUUAAGCCCCUGCCCCCUGCAGCCAGCCUGCCUGGGUUUAUAUCCUAGCUUUGACAAUUUCUACUGUGUGACCUUGGCUAAGUCACUUGGCCUCUCUGCACCUCUGUUUCUCAUUUGUGAAACAGGGAUUGUCUUAGUCUGUUCAAGCUGUUGUAACAAAAUAGCACACCGGGUAGCCUAAGAUCAACAGAAAUUUAUUGGUCAUCGUUCUGGAGGCCAGAAGUCCAAGAUCAAGGUGCUUAUGUGGUCUCAUUCUGGUUGGAAGCCCUUCUCGCGGUUCACGGACAGUGCCUUCUCACUGGAAGAGGGCUGGGGAUCUCUCUGGAGCCUUUUUAUAUAAGGUACCCUUGUGAAUUAAUCACAUCCCAAAGGCCCCAUUUACUGUUACCAUCACCUUUGGGGGUCAGGAUAUCAACAUGGGAAUUAUGAGGGGUUCAUAAGCCUUCACCCCAGAGCAGGGAUGAGAACACUAAUACCUCCUUUUCAGUGUUCUUGUGAGGCUUAAGUGAAUUAUCCUCAUAGAAGAUCGGGAGUGCCCGGCACAUGGAAAGCUUCAUGUGUUUGCCGCUAUUAUUAUUCUAGUGCAAAUUAAUUCAUCUGUAACUCUUCUCCCAUUAAGCUGCAACUGUAACAAAUUGUCACUUGCAGUUAGCUGUUCUGGCCAUAAUAAACGGCACCGAUCAUCUGGCUAUGAUCAUGGAAGAGAGCCUCCAAUCACCAAGCUCUG
This 1477-nucleotide long non-coding RNA is filed under the name Mustela putorius furo (domestic ferret). RNAcentral describes it as "lncRNA (ENSMPUG00000025116.1)". Lineage: Eukaryota; Metazoa; Chordata; Mammalia; Carnivora; Mustelidae. The record is from RNAcentral.